UGUCAGUCAAGCCAGCAGAAGCAACAAGCACCAUGACCCUCAUCACCAUCCUCAUCUGGACGCUGACCUGCUGCUGUUUUACAGGAUGCAGCGCUCAGAUCACUGUGACUCAACCUGCAGUGGAGACAUUUACACCAGGAUCCACUGUCACUAUCAGAUGUACAACAAAUCAGGAUGUUUACAGUGACAUGUUUUUGUCCUGGUAUCAGCAGAAACCAGAACAGUCUCCAAAGCUCCUGAUAUAUUUGGUGGAUAAUCUUGAGUCAGGAACUCCAGCUCGGUUUAGUGGCAGUGGAAGCAGCUCUGCCUUCACUUUGACCAUCAGUGGAGUUCAGGCUGAAGAUGCUGCAGUUUAUUACUGUCAGAGUUACCAUGAAAUAGAUGAUGCCUCAGUGUUCACUUUUGGUGGAGGAACCAAACUCGUCGUUGACUUGGGUGUGUUGCGGCCCACCCUGACCGUCCUCCCCCCCUCCAAAGAGCAGCAGCAGCAGCAGCAGCAGCAGAGCAGCGUCACACUGGUGUGUCUGGCCAGCGGGGGCUUCCCCUCCACCUGGACGCUGGGCUGGAAGGUGGGGGGCAGCAGCAGGUCCUCAGGGGUGUCUAGCAGCCUGGAGGUGCUGGGGGGGGACGGCCGCUACAGCUGGAGCAGCACCCUGAGCCUCCCUGCAGACCAGUGGAGGAAGGCGGGCUCAGUGAGCUGUGAGGCCAAUCAGAGUGGACAGAGUCCUGUCACUCAAACCCUGGAGCCUGACCGCUGCUCAGAGUAGAGCUGCAGCUUCAUGGCUGGAAACCAUCAUGUUGUCGUGUUUUAUUCACAAACAUUACUUUUCACCUUUCAUUCGUCUUCCUUAUGUUCUCUCAUGUAACUUGGAGUAAAUGGAUUGUUUCAAUAAAAGUGCAGAUUUAUGUCAA
Xiphophorus maculatus (southern platyfish) is the source of this 912-nucleotide non-coding RNA. The record is from the annotation of a RefSeq genome assembly. Lineage: Eukaryota; Metazoa; Chordata; Actinopteri; Cyprinodontiformes; Poeciliidae.